Molecule: long non-coding RNA, 1400 nt
Filed under: Arabidopsis lyrata
Lineage: Eukaryota; Viridiplantae; Streptophyta; Magnoliopsida; Brassicales; Brassicaceae
Description: long non-coding RNA (ALYR_LNC001823)
Source: RNAcentral
UACUACUCAAUUUUUUUUUGUCUUAUCAUUCUAUUUUCUAGAGGUGUAAUGUAACAGUACAAGUAGAAGCAACACGUGACAUAACCACGCACACCUAAACCACGUGAACUUAAUACUGCUGAAGGAUUCGAAGAAGGAGGCGCAAAAGGCGCGUGAGAUACUGUUCUUUUAACCAUCUCUCUCUUUUCUUUGGUCUUCGUAACCUUUUUUUCUUCUAAUCAACGAUAUGUGACUAACAUUUAAUCAUAAUUUUGUAUUCAUGCAAUCGAUUACAAACUGCUCGAUGACUUGUGAUACACUCUACUACAUUGAAGAAAAUCUUGUGAUCUCAUCAAAUUAUACACAUUUAAUUUAGGGGAUUAUGUAGCUGACGUGAAAAUUAUCUGCCGACAAAUGACUUUAUUAUGAUUAACGAUUUUAAAGAAAGCUUAUAGUGGACCUUAAGUAAAACAGAGUGACACAAUAAUUGAAAGCAAAGUCGAGAUUCAAACGUAAAUUGUUUUGUACAUGUUUUGUACUGUUCUUCUUCUUGGAGGAUUAAACAAUUUACGUUGAAUCUCGACUUUGCUUUCAAUUUUUGUAUGUUCUGUUUUAGAAUUUCUCAAUUUUGAAUCUAGAUCUGUGUUCUUCUUCGCUGAACUCUUGUCUAGAUCUUCUUUGCUUGGUUUGCUCAAAUCCAUGUUUUGUACUGUUCUUCUUCUUGAAGGAUGAUGUUUACUCUCCUCUAUGUGUGUGUAGAUGGCUUGUAUUUUCAAGUGGUGGGGAGAUUGCCUUGAGCGGCGAAAGGAUGCCCGUAUGAAUUGUGCAUUGAUGAAAUAAAUGGUAUCCAAGUGAUAUUGAGGGAUGCGUAGAGAAAAGUAGAACUCCUUAAGGUUCAAUAUACCCAGGCUAUGAAUACCGACGAUCCCGUAGGUAAAAACUAAAAUUAUGUGGUAAUCUAGAAAGUAGAAACAUAAUUGCACUUCCAAAUUUUCUAGGUUUCUGGUUUGAUUUUUUUUUACCUAACAGUGUAAGUAAGUAAUAACGAUGAUUUUCUUCAAUUCCCACGAUAAUUUUAGAGUCAUAUUAUUAUACUGGUUAUUCUUCGAACAUUUAAUAUCGUAUACAGGUAAAUUAUAGAUAAUUAAGAAACUAUAUGUAGACGACCAAAGAGAAGAAAGAUGAUUCCAAAAUUUGGGUAUGACUUAUCAAUCUCUUCACUGCGACUAAAAUUAAUCCGACUUGUAUAAGUACAAGUGUAACUAGUCAAAUUAUUAUUUUGUUUUUUCCAAAACUAAAAUUAUGUGGUUUGAAUAUUUGAUUUUCAUUAUUUGAAAACAUAAUUAAUUUUUUUAUUGCAGACCAACAUAGGGCUUCAGAGAUUGAGAAAGUUUACAGAGAACUCAUUUUAGACAUUGAAC